RNAcentral lists this ribosomal RNA (1923 nucleotides) under human metagenome. RNAcentral's name for it is "bacterial LSU rRNA". It matches the Rfam family "Bacterial large subunit ribosomal RNA", at positions 3 to 1973 of the family's 2925-position model. The record is from RNAcentral.
UCAAGCGACUAAGUGUAUGUGGUGGAUGCCUUGGCGAUUACAGGCGAAGAAGGACGUCGCAGCCUGCGAAAAGCCGUGGGGAGCUGGCAAGCGAGCACUGAUCCACGGAUGUCCGAAUGAGGGAACUCACCCGCAAGGGUAUCUUGAAGUGAAUACAUAGCUUCAAGAGGCGAACGCAGCGAACUGAAACAUCUAAGUAGCUGCAGGAAAAGAAAUCAACCGAGAUUCUGAAAGUAGCGGCGAGCGAAAUUGGAAGAGCCUGCAAGUGAUAUUGAAUUCGAUACUGGAACGGUCUGGAAAGUCCGGCUACAGAGGGUGACAGCCCCGUACGGGAAAUUGGGUUCAAGGUACUGAGCUUGCGAGAAGUAGAGCGGGACACGUGAAAUCCUGCUCGAAGAUGGGGGGACCAUCCUCCAAGGCUAAAUACUCGUAAUCGACCGAUAGCGAACCAGUACUGUGAAGGAAAGGCGAAAAGAACCCCGGGAGGGGAGUGAAAUAGAUCCUGAAACCGCAUACAUACAAACAGUAGGAGCCCGCAAGGGUGACUGCGUACCUUUUGCAUAAUGGGUCAGCGACUUACGUUCAAUGGCAAGCUUAACCGAGUAGGGGAGGCGCAGCGAAAGCGAGUCCGAACAGGGCGAUAUGAGUCGUUGGGCGUAGACCCGAAACCAGAUGAUCUAUCCAUGGCCAGGCUGAAGGUGUGGUAACACACACUGGAGGGCCGAACCGACUAGUGUUGCAAAAUUAGCGGAUGAGCUGUGGAUAGGGGUGAAAGGCUAAACAAAUCUGGAGAUAGCUGGUUCUCCCCGAAAACUAUUGAGGUAGUGCCUCGUGUAUGGCUCCAGGGGGUAGAGCACUGUUAUGGCUAGGGGGACAUGGCGUCUUACCAAACCAUGGCAAACUCCGAAUACUUGGAAGUCUGAGCACGGGAGACAGAGCACCGGGUGCUAACGUCCGGACUCAAAAGGGAAACAACCCAGACCGCCGGCUAAGGUCCCUAAUAUUGACUAAGUGGAAAACGAAGUGGGAAGGCUAAGACAGUCAGGAAGUUGGCUUAGAAGCAGCCAUCCUUCAAAGAAAGCGUAAUAGCUCACUGAUCGAGUCUUCCUGCGCGGAAGAUGUAACGGGGCUAAGUCAAUAACCGAAGCCGCGGAUUCGCAGCAAUGCGAGUGGUAGGGGAGCGUUCUGUAAGCCUGCGAAGGCGGAUCUGCGAGGACCGCUGGAGGUAUCAGAAGUGCGAAUGCUGACAUGAGUAACGUUAAAGCGGGUGAAAAGCCCGCUCGCCGCAAGCCCAAGGUUUCCUGCUCUACGUUCAUCGGAGCAGGGUGAGUCGGCCCCUAAGGUCAGGCUGAGAAGCGUAGCUGAUGGGAAGCUGGUUAAUAUUCCAGCACCGAUUUCAAGUGCGAAGGGGGGGACGGAGUCCUGAAGGUCAUCCGGGUGUUGGACAUCCCGGUUUACGAGCGUAGGAGGUUGACAGGCAAAUCCGUCAACGAAUCUCCAAGGCGAAGGAUCGAGGUUGAGAGAUCAACUGAAGUGACUGAAUGGGCUUCCAGGAAAAGCCUCUAAGCAUCAGCUUGGAAUUGACCGUACCGCAAACCGACACUGGUGGGCGAGCUGAAUAUGCUCAGGCGCUUGAGAGAACUCAGGAGAAGGAACUCGGCAAAUUGACACCGUAACUUCGGGAUAAGGUGUGCCUUUGUAGUGUGAAGAGAGAAACACUCCGAGCAUGAAGAGGCCUCAGAGAAUCGGUGGCUGCAACUGUUUACUAAAAACACAGCACUCUGCAAAGAUGAAAGUCGACGUAUAGGGUGUGAUGCCUGCCCGGUGCUGGAAGAUUAAUUGAUGGGGUGCAAGCUCCUGAUCGAAGUCCCAGUAAACGGCGGCCGUAACUAUAACGGUCCUAAGGUAGCGAAAUUCCUUGUC